This is a long non-coding RNA of Bubalus bubalis (water buffalo), 5983 nucleotides long. RefSeq lists it as uncharacterized. Lineage: Eukaryota; Metazoa; Chordata; Mammalia; Artiodactyla; Bovidae. The record is from RefSeq and is a predicted model, not a curated record. The transcript has 3 exons.
CGGAGGAGCCUGGUGGGCUACAGCCCAUGGAGUCACAAAGAGUUGGACAUGACUGAGCAAUCAAGAACAAAAAAUACAUCCACACCCUAAUCCUGGAACAUAUGAAUGUUAACUGAUUUGGGGAAAGGGUCUUUGCAAGUAUAGUGAAGAAUCUUAAGAGCAGGAGGUCAUCUGGAUUAUCCCAUGGGAUCCUGAAUCCAGUGACAUCGUCUUAGAGCAGAAGAGGAGAGGGCUGUGCAAAGAUGGAAGCACAGGGCAGAGGGAUGAGGCCACAAACCAAGGGACACUUGGGGCCUCCAGAAGCUGGAGGAGGUGAGGAAGAGUCCUUCCCCAGAGCCUUUGGAGGGAGCCCAACACUGUCCAUGCCUUGAUUUCAGACUUUUGGCCUCCACAUGUUGAGAGAAGACAUUUCUGCUGUUUCAAGCAUCCAGUUGGUGUGAUUUGUCAUGGCAGACACAGGAAUCUAUCACAGUCCCUAAUCUUCAUAAACCCAUCUUACAGGGAAGGAAACUGAGGUCAGAGAGGUAAGGGCUUAUCCAGGGAUCACCUCCGAUUUAUUCUGUAUAAUAAUAGCAGAGGUCAGUGGUCACAGCAGAGGCUGUGUGGCCUGUGAAGCCUGAACUGUUUAUCAUCCAGCCAGUUACAGAUGUGUUUGCCCACCCCUGCUCUAGGUGCCCCUAUGGCAAUACCUGUUCUAGAAAAAAUAAAGCAGGGCAAGAGGGACAAGAGGUAAGGAAGGCUUCACUAGGACAGUGAACAUUUGUGCAGGGACCUGAGUCCUGUGCAAAGGCCCUGAGGCACAGUGAGGGGCCUGAGCGGCUGAAGCAGAGAGACAGCCAAGGUCAGAUGGGAGCAGAGGGACCUACCUGGUGGUUCAAUAGCUAAGACUCCGUGUUCCAAAUGCAGUGGGCCUGGGUUCGAUCCCUGGUCAGAGAACUGGAUCCCAGAUGCUGCAACUAAGAAUUCGCAUAUUGCAACUAAGACUCAGUGCAACCAAAUAAAUAAUUUUUUUUUAAAAAAGAGCAGGCCAUCUCUGCAGGGUUCUGGGAGCCACCUCCUCCAAGUGAGCUGGGGGACCAUCAGAGGGCCAGGAACAGAGGGAGCCUGAGAUUUGAUUUCCAUGUUGCGGACUCUCUCUGCUCCUGUGUGGGGCGGGAGAGGGGCCCAGGAGGCCAGCUGAGGGCCUGUCGUUCACUAUGACAUCAGUGUUAGUGACAUCAGAGUGUGGAGUCCUGCCUUGAACUCUUCUAGCCUAGAUCUAGUAGACUUCCCAGUGGAGGAGCAGAGUGGCCAGGACCUAGGCUUUAGGGAGGAGGGCUGGCUGGGCUUAGAAACAUGGGAAUCUUCAGUAUCUGAGGCUGUGAUCCUGGAGGAGCAGUUAUGAAGAAGGAGGUUCAGGGGCUGAGCGUUUGAGGCCCUCCAAGCUCAGAGAUGAGGAGCACCAGGAGACGGCAGCUCCCCGGAGCCAGAGAGGACGCCGAGUGGAGGGGAAGGGCGCCGUGUGGCUGCCGCCAGACACUGGGACGGGCGCGGACACGUGUCCACGGGGCCCAGGGCGGCCAUUCAUCUUUGAGCUUGAGGAGCUGUUUGGAAUCACAAAGUGGCUCGCACAUACCCGGCCUCCGUUGAGAGCCACGUACACCACGGGCCCUUAGCUAAACACACAGGAGUUCGGGGUGAGGCGGAGACCUUCCCCAGCAGCUGGAUGGACCCCUGGGCAGCUGCCACACCUCUCCGGUCGCUCUCAUGGGCAGUAAAUCCUCAGGUCCCUUCUAGUCCCAGGGGCCGUGUCCGCUUAGGAAUUACAACUCCAGUCCCGGUUUAAUGAUCAAAACGAAGGUUUAUUCCCAGUCACGGCUUCUCCCCUCCUCCAGCUCCACUAGGCUUCGAGCAGCAGUGGAACCACAGCGGGGGAGGCCAGCUGGGCCUCUGCCAUCCUCCUCCGGGAGGGAGGGCGGGAGGGGACUGGGACCCUCCAGGAUCGGGGGAUUCCGAAUGCAGAUCUCUCUCUUUCAGGCUCUCUGCUGGGCCUUAGGUAAUUCUUGGAUGGUUCCUGACCCACCAGGGCACACACCUUUGCCCAGUCAUCCGGAAAACACGGCCACCAGUCCAGUUCCACAGCCAGCUGGGCAGCAACAGGGAUGACCUUGGCCUUUAAUGCAUCCGGCGUGGAGCCAGCAGCAGGAGACACCUGUUCGCCUGGGUCCUUGAAGCCCCUCUUGCUGGUCUCAGGAUGAAAGGCACUCUCUCCUACUCUCAAGACCUUCAGUAUCAGACAGAAUGGGCUUCCGGUAAAGAAUCUGCCUGCAAUGCAGGAGACACGGGUUCGAUCCCUGGGUCGGGAAGAUCCCCUGGAGGCAUGGCAACCCACUCCAGUAUUCUUGCCAAGAAAAUCCCACGACAGAGGAGCCUGGCGGACUACAGUCCACGGGGUCACAAAGAAUCAGAUACGACUGAAUGACUGAGCACGCACCAGCGUCAGAAUGGAGGCAGGAAGUCCCAUCUUAACUGCCCCCCUGGGGACUGCAGAGAGAGCUGCCAAGCCCUUCCAGCCCACCGUCUACACUCGCUGCCGCCUGGCCUCACCACCUGCUCAUUCAGUCCUGCCCCUGCGAUGACCUUCGGUCGCCAGCUGCACAGGCCAUUGCUGCUGCAUCCAUCUUGGUGAGGGUUCUGCAGGUCUCCAACGCCCCCUCCCCAGCCUCCCUCCCUUGAGCCCCUUCCCCCUCCCAGACUGUCACAUGCUGUCCUGCUCACACGCUGCCCUGUAUUAGGCACAGCCCUCUUUGCUGCAGGAGCCCCUGGUGGCUCAGACGUUAACAAGUCUGUCUGCAGUGCAGGAGACCCAGGUUCCAUCCCUGAGUUGGGGCGAUCCCCUGGAGGAGGAACCGGCAACCCACUCCAGUAUUCUUGCCUGGAGAAUCCCAUGGACUGAGGAGCCAGGCGGGCUACUGUCCGUGGGGUCACAGAGUCAGCCACAACUGAGCGACCUCUCUUUCUUCUCUUCGCUGCUCUCCCCACCAUGGUCUGUCCGUCAGUGUGGCCAGCAUGAUGGCCUUUAAAUGCCCACCUGGCAGGGCCCUCCCUUCACACAAACCCUCUCUGGCUCCCUAGUGCCCCUGACGGCUCUCCCUGCCGCCUCUCUGCCCUCCCCCAGGUCGGGCACAGCUCCUCCCGGCUGGUCGCAGUCCUCCUGGCCCUGCGGUCUUGGGGUCUCCCCCUGGGUGUCUGUAGGUCUGAGGGUCCCCUUUCUCUGGGGGAGGCAGGGGCCGUCAGAGCCGGGUGGCAAGGUGGGCUGAGCCUUCACAGAAUCGGCUGGGACAGGUACCCACAGGGGCUGGCGCUCCCAUGGGAGGCUGGUGUGUGCAGGGAACACUGACCCCGGCCGGGGGCCAAGAGCGGCUGUCUUGUGGGGUGUGGAAGGGUGGAAGAGGGAGGUGGCCUGCAGGCAGGUCGACUGCCCGGUGGAGAACCCAGGCGGGGUAUCCUGCGAGCUCCUCACGGCGAAGGGCCGGGGGGGGGGGGGGGGGGGGGCGGAGGCGGGGGGACGGGGGGGGGGGACUUUGUGCAGGAGAGUUCCUGCCGCUCAGACUUGCGGGGCGGGGAUCUGGCGGUCCCCAGAAGCUGUGAUCGCAGAUUCUAGAAGUAAGUCACCUUCCGCCUCCGCGGUGGAGGAGGGUGCCUGGAAGGGUUCUUGAAUCCUGGGUUCCCUGAAGGCUCCGCCUUCUGCCCCUGGGGUCUUAGAAGCAGCACCAGCCCCCAGGCUCUGGGGGGAGUGGCCGAGGGUUAUCUCCCUCCCCGCCCCCCCCGCACCUACCUACACCCCUACCCCCGCCCCGCGCAGAUCCCCUGGAUACCCGGGCCUGGUGCUGAGCCCAGACAGACCGUGCGGGGGCGCUGGGCUCAGCGAGGACACAGACCCUCCCUCAGGCAGCGGCGAGGCAGAGCCGGCCUCUCGGCCUUGUCCCUGGGCAGCACCAGGUGCAGCCGGUGCUCCGGACUCGGACCGCGGGGGAGGCGCCUCCUGCCCGAGCCCCUCCCGGGCCGGGAUCACACAUCCUCCCUGCUUAUCAACGAGCCUCCGACCAAAGCUCACCGCCCGCAAUGGCCCGCAGGGCGCUGGGCCGCCUUUGAUGAGCAACCCCCACCGCCCAGUCAACAAACGCUGCAGACUUUGCACCGAGAGUGUUUACUCCCGGCAAGGACGUGGUGUACCCCCCGCAGUCUGCCCGCUGCUUUCUCUGGGGUGGGGGUGGGGUGAAGGGGGUGACGAGGGGGCUACCGGUGAGUCUUCCCCAGCCCAGGGUCUGGUUCUCCAGGAGCACCUGCCUGCUCAAGAAAUCCUCCUACCUGAAGAGGGAUUAUGCACAUUCUAUAGAUGCGAAAACUGAGGCCUGGCUGGUUAGGUGACUUGAGUGAGAUCCCUCAGGGAAUAAAGGAUGGAGCUGCAGGCUUUUGUUAUUUCUCCUCUCUGAUGCUACCAAAACCUUGGCUUUCUUUGUGCCCACAAAAACCACGUAAGGAAAAAAAAAAACAUGGAGACAGUUUGGAAGAAACAGAAAGGUGGCUGUGAUCCUCAGGUGGCAGAAGGGAGAGCACAGGAGGUUUGUGCCUUAAGAGCGGUGCCCCUUUUCCACGAGGAAUCUGGGGGAUUAUAUAGAUGCAGGCUCGCAGUCAGGGGUUGGUGAUGAGGAACAAAGGUGUCAGGAUGUUGCAUUCUUCCUCUAGCGCUCUUUCAAAAGCGGUCACAGGCUGGUGUCAGGUAGCCCAGUAAUUGGGUCUGGCAGUUGGGUAGUUGGGUCCAUUAUUGUCUUUUGUACCGAGGCCUUCUUUCUAUAAGGCAAAAAGAGAAAAACUACAAGGGAUGGUCUGCAAAGAGAGUUCUGUAAAGGUGUAAUUAGCAUGGAGUCAAAGGAUAGUUGGAGGAGGGCAUGGAACCCACUCCAGGAUUCUUGCCUGGAGAAUCCCAUGGACAGAGGAGCCUGGCAGGCGACAGUCCAUGGGGUCGCACAGAGCGACUUGGCACACACGCACAAAGGCUAGUAGAUGCAGAAUAAAGCUUAUGCAGAGUUAGGGGGCAGAACAGAUUAGGAACAGUUAAAGUAAAACCUGGGGCUUUCUAGGUGGCUCAAGUGGUAAAGGAUCUGCUGGCCAGUACAGGAGACGAAGGAGACACAAGUUUGAUCCCUGGGUUGGGAAGAUCUGCUGGAAUAGGAAAUGGCAGGAUGGCAGCCCACUCCAGUAUACUUGCCUGGAGAGUCCCAUGGACAGAGGAGCCUGGCGGGCUACAGUCCACAGGGUCACAAAGAGUCGGACACGACUGAGCCACUGGGCGCACACCCAAGUAAAAGCUAGGAGUGAUCAGGCCUGCUCACUGUUCCUUCUUCUUUGUUCUUAGGAAAGAAAAGAAAAACUCAUUUUCCUUUUUCACUUUUUCACUGCAGCAUCUCUCCCAGGCCCUGGGGGGUCGGGGGAGUGAGGGGAGCAAGGAAAAGACUGAGGGCCUCCAGAGUCAGGGGUUCAGGCCCAACCCGGCUCCAAGGGCUCCUAGCUCAGGCCUGCAGUGAUCCGAGUGGCCACGAGGGGGCAGCAGCAUCCUGCCAUGCCAGGCUCUCCAGGUGCUCAGGGAUUCAAAGGAAAGCGUUUGUCAACACCGAGGGGCCUGGAGGACGACCUGCCAGCCCUUGGAUCAGGGAACAAGUUCGACCCCACUCAUGACCUUGGGCAAGUUGUGGAACCCGUGGAGACCUCAGUUUCCUAAUCUGUGCCAGUGGGGAUAACAGGAGCUGACCCACUUGGUGGAGCUGGGAAUUAAGAAAACCAGGCAGCAGACAGAAAAGCUUGCUCUCAAGGCACAGGUUCUAGUUCAUAUUCUAGAACUAACACCAAAAAAAGAUGUAUUUUUCAUAAUAGGGAACUGGAAUGCAAAAGUAGGAAGUCAGGCAGUAGACAGGUUUGACCAUGGAGUACAAAAUGAAGCAGG